RNAcentral lists this ribosomal RNA (492 nucleotides) under uncultured bacterium. Its description in RNAcentral is "partial 16S ribosomal RNA". It matches the Rfam family "Bacterial small subunit ribosomal RNA", at positions 29 to 507 of the family's 1533-position model. The record is from RNAcentral.
AGUGAACGCUGGCGGUAGGCCUAACACAUGCAAGUCGAACGGCAGCACAGUAAGAGCUUGCUCUUACGGGUGGCGAGUGGCGGACGGGUGAGGAAUACAUCGGAAUCUACUUUUUCGUGGGGGAUAACGUAGGGAAACUUACGCCAAUACCGCAUACGACCUACGGGUGAAAGCAGGGGAUCUUCGGACCUUGCGCGAUUGAAUGAGCCGAUGUCGGAUUAGCUAGUUGGCGGGGUAAAGGCCCACCAAGGCGACGAUCCGUAGCUGGUCUGAGAGGAUGAUCAGCCACACUGGAACUGAGACACGGUCCAGACUCCUACGGGAGGCAGCAGUGGGGAAUAUUGGACAAUGGGCGCAAGCCUGAUCCAGCCAUACCGCGUGGGUGAAGAAGGCCUUCGGGUUGUAAAGCCCUUUUGUUGGGAAAGAAAAGCAGCAGGUUAAUACCCCGCUGCUCUGACGGUACCCAAAGAAUAAGCACCGGCUAACUUCGUG